This 252-nucleotide ribosomal RNA is filed under the name uncultured bacterium. RNAcentral describes it as "partial 16S ribosomal RNA". It matches the Rfam family "Bacterial small subunit ribosomal RNA", at positions 524 to 776 of the family's 1533-position model. The record is from RNAcentral.
UACGGAGGGUGCAAGCGUUAUCCGGAUUUACUGGGUUUAAAGGGUGCGCAGGCGGAUAUGUAGUCAGUGGUGAAAUCUCUAGGCUUAACCUGGAAAUUGCCGUUGAUACUAUAUAUCUUGAAUGCUGUGGAGGUAAGCGGAAUAUGUCAUGUAGCGGUGAAAUGCUUAGAUAUGACAUAGAACACCUAUUGCGAAGGCAGCUUACUACGCAGAUAUUGACGCUCAUGCACGAAAGCGUGGGGAUCAAACAGG